AACCCUCUGGAAUGAUCUUAUUUCUUGC
RNAcentral lists this small RNA (28 nucleotides) under Bombyx mori (domestic silkworm). Its description in RNAcentral is "ovarian small RNA-10312". Lineage: Eukaryota; Metazoa; Arthropoda; Insecta; Lepidoptera; Bombycidae. The record is from RNAcentral.